Molecule: ribosomal RNA, 437 nt
Filed under: uncultured Thiobacillus sp.
Lineage: Bacteria; Pseudomonadati; Pseudomonadota; Betaproteobacteria; Nitrosomonadales; Thiobacillaceae
Description: bacterial SSU rRNA
Rfam family: Bacterial small subunit ribosomal RNA
Source: RNAcentral
UGUGGUUUAAUUCGAUAGCAACGCGAAAACCUUACCUACCUUUGACAUGUCCAGAAUCCUGCAGAGAUGCGGGAGUGCCCGAAAGGGAAUUGGAACACAGGUGCUGCAUGGCUGUCGUCAGCUCGUGUCGUGAGAUGUUGGGUUAAGUCCCGCAACGAGCGCAACCCUUAUCAUUAGUUGCUACGCAAGGGCACUCUAAUGAGACUGCCGGUGACAAACCGGAGGAAGUGGGGAUGACGUCAAGUCCUCAUGGCCCUUAUGGGUAGGGCUUCACACGUCAUACAAUGGUCGGUACAGAGGGUUGCCAAGCCGCGAGGUGGAGCCAAUCCCAGAAAGCCGAUCGUAGUCCGAAUUGUUCUCUGCAACUCGAGAGCAUGAAGUCGGAAUCGCUAGUAAUCGCGGAUCAGCAUGUCGCGGUGAAUACGUUCCCGGGUCUU